AUGUGAACAGGGGGCAAUUUUGUAAAUACAUAAAACUUGUAAAUUAGUCGCUCCUCCUCUCCCUGCAUCUGUACUACUGGACUUCAAACAAAAACUAAAUCACAAUCUAUCAAGAAAUCACGUCCGACAAUCCCACAAGCAUCAUCAAUAUGCGAUUCAUCACAGCGAUUUACAAAAAAUCAAGUUCGACGCUCCACAAUAUCAGUAGUUCAUCAUCAAACUUCAUCGUAUGUUCGAUAUUAGUGCAAAAAGAACAUAAUCAUCGAUUUCACAUUCCUCUUCGAUUCGAAAUUAGGGCAAAACGACCAUAAUCAUCAAGAUUUGUUGUACAGAUAGGGAUAAUUUGAAGAACAUAUGUCGUUUAAUGGAAUCGCGUCUAACGGAAUCACGUCUAACGGAAUCACGAUUCGUUGUUGCACCGUUCUGUGAAUUUAUCAUCUAUGGCAAAAAAAUACACGGAUUAACAGAUGAUAGAGUUAAGCAUAUGUUAGACGAAGAGGCGUUGAAGCAAUAGGAAUGCUGGGGUGUGCUCAACAACUGGAAAAGGAACAGGCAAUAUGAUGUUAUGGAUGUUAGAUGUGGGUGAUUCAAGGAUCGAAACUGUUGGGGCGGAUACGUGAAAUGUUGUCUGUGUGAAGAUGGCGAUGAAACAGCUGAACACCUUCUUUGUUCGUGCAGGGUCUGGUAUCACAUCAGUCAGUGGUGCAAGGAAAAAAUUAUUCGAAACUGCUCAUGGAUUGACAACAAAGGCGUAUUUGAUUAAUAGGUUAACGGAUGAAAAAUACCAGGGAAAAUGAUGGACGAAGAGGCGCUGAAACAAGAGGAGUGUUGGAAGAUAGUUAUGAAAUGGAAAGAAGAUCAGAAGGUGUGAGGUUGUGAACUAAUGCGAAUGUUAUGUAGGUAGUUUGUGGAUAUGCAAUUUAUAAAGACAUUUUUUUUGUUUUCUUGAUGUCUUUUGAUUGUAAUAUGUGGGUAGUUUUUUACGAUAAUGGUUGAUAUAAGAAGUUUGA
Molecule: long non-coding RNA, 1010 nt
Organism: Helianthus annuus (common sunflower)
Lineage: Eukaryota; Viridiplantae; Streptophyta; Magnoliopsida; Asterales; Asteraceae
Exons: 3
Source: RefSeq, a predicted model, not a curated record